CUGAGUGCAAACUCUCCAACCAUUGUUUAUCUAUUUAUUUAGAACUUCUCCGGCAGGCGGUCCCAGGGCGGGAUCGAGCCUAAGCAUCUGUGCUAAGCACCUGCCGAGAAGACCUAUUGCUCUAUAUUAUACUGUCUGAGGAACUAAAAAAAUAUCA
RNAcentral lists this unclassified non-coding RNA (157 nucleotides) under uncultured Sordariales. RNAcentral describes it as "sequence contains ITS1". Lineage: Eukaryota; Fungi; Ascomycota; Sordariomycetes; Sordariales. The record is from RNAcentral.